UGGAUCCUACGGGGCGCAGCAGUGGGGAAUAUUGGGCAAUGGGCGCAAGCCUGACCCAGCAACGCCGCGUGAAGGAAGAAGGCUUUCGGGUUGUAAACUUCUUUUGUCAGGGACGAAGCAAGUGACGGUACCUGACGAAUAAGCCACGGCUAACUACGUGCCAGCAGCCGCGGUAAUACGUAGGUGGCAAGCGUUAUCCGGAUUUACUGGGUGUAAAGGGAGCGUAGACGGCGGCGCAAGUCCGGAGUGAAAGCCCACGGCCCAACCGUGGGACUGCUCUGGAAACUGUGCGGCUUGAGUGCGGG
Molecule: ribosomal RNA, 305 nt
Filed under: uncultured bacterium
Lineage: Bacteria
Description: bacterial SSU rRNA
Rfam family: Bacterial small subunit ribosomal RNA
Source: RNAcentral